RNAcentral lists this ribosomal RNA (500 nucleotides) under uncultured bacterium. RNAcentral describes it as "bacterial SSU rRNA". It matches the Rfam family "Bacterial small subunit ribosomal RNA", at positions 899 to 1397 of the family's 1533-position model. The record is from RNAcentral.
ACUCAAAGGAAUAGACGGGGGCCCGCACAAGCGGUGGAGCAUGUGGCUUAAUUCGACGCAACGCGAAGAACCUUACCAGGGCUUGACUGUCACGGAAUCUCGCUGAAAGGCGGGAGUGCCCUUCGGGGAACCGUGAAACAGGUGGUGCAUGGCCGUCGUCAGCUCGUGUCGUGAGAUGUUGGGUUAAGUCCCGCAACGAGCGCAACCCUCAUUGUGUGUUGCCAGCAGUUCGGCUGGGCACUCACACGAAACUGCCUCGGUAACGAGGAGGAAGGUGGGGAUGAUGUCAGGUCCGCAUGCCCCUUACGCCCUGGGCUGCACACAUGCUACAAUGGGGAGGACAAUGGGUUGCAAGACCGCGAGGUGGAGCUAAUCCCCAAAACUCUCCUCAGUUCGGAUUGCAGUCUGCAACUCGACUGCAUGAAUGUCGGAAUCGCUAGUAACCGCAAAUCAGCUACGUUGCGGUGAAUACGUUCUCGGGCCUUGUACACACCGCCCGU